Molecule: ribosomal RNA, 253 nt
Filed under: uncultured bacterium
Lineage: Bacteria
Description: partial 16S ribosomal RNA
Rfam family: Bacterial small subunit ribosomal RNA
Source: RNAcentral
UACGUAGGGGGCAAGCGUUGUCCGGAUUUAUUGGGCGUAAAGAGCGUGUAGGCGGCUGGGUAGGUCCGUUGUGAAAACUCGAGGCUCAACCUCGAGACGCCGAUGGAAACCCUCCAGCUAGAGUCCGGAAGAGGAGAGUGGAAUUCCUGGUGUAGCGGUGAAAUGCGCAGAUAUCAGGAAGAACACCCGUGGCGAAGGCGGCUCUCUGGGACGGUACUGACGCUGAGACGCGAAAGCGUGGGGAGCGAACAGG